Molecule: long non-coding RNA, 710 nt
Filed under: Monodelphis domestica (gray short-tailed opossum)
Lineage: Eukaryota; Metazoa; Chordata; Mammalia; Didelphimorphia; Didelphidae
Description: lncRNA (ENSMODG00000032145.2)
Source: RNAcentral
GAGAAUCAUCAAAAGGUCUCCUCCCUUUCCCAGCUCAGGCUUUGCUGAAGGGUAAAAAUGUUUUCUGCUGCUUCAAGGAAAACCUUUUUCUCUUCUCUCAAUAUUUUCCCAAGCAGAGUAAUAAACAGAUUACUAGAGGACACUUGAAUCUCCCAUGUUCAUCACUACCUUUGAAUGGAUUGUACCUCAUGCCAGGAAUAUGCUUCUUUCUCAUCUAUGUUUCUACUACUUACUAGUUUUCUGAAAAGCUGAAGUCAAAUGCCAUCUCUGCCAUGACCAUUUUUCUGUUAUCCUCACCCCUGCCAACUCUAAGUUAAGGCUUUCCCCUGUCCUUCAAAUUACAUUUUUUUUUAAUUUUGGAUAAAUUAAUAAUUAAAAAAUCAUUUCAUAAAAUACUUUUAUUGCUUGGUCAUUUUAGUAUUAUCUGACAUUAUGAUCUCCUUUGUUUUUUGUUUUUUUUUUUUGGCAAAUAUAGUACAAUGGUUAGCCAGUUCCUUUUCCAGUUCAUUUCAUAAAUGGUGACUAGCAAGUGGAUGUUAAAUAUUUUGUUUCAUCAACUUUUGAGGAUCUAGAAUAGAACUAUAAGAUAUAAAAUUAAUAUGUCCUUUCAGGAAUUGUGGUCCAUAGGCAAAAAAAAGAAAAAAAAAAGAAAAAGGCUGAGAAAAUGAGCAAAGAAUAAAGAAACAUCUAACCAUAGAAAAUUUCUAUAG